GACGAACGCUGGCGGCGUGCCUAAUACAUGCAAGUAGAACGCAGUUGCGAACGGGUGAGUAACGCGUAGGUAACUACCUUGUAGCGGGGGAUAACUAUUGGAAACGAUAGCUAAUACCGCAUACUACUAGAUGGACCUGCGUUGUAUUAGCUAGUUGGUGAGGUAACGGCUUACCAAGGCAACGAUACAUAGCCGACUUGAGAGGGUGAUCGGCCAAACUGGGACUGAGACACGGCCCAGACUCCUACGGGAGGCAGCAGUAGGGAAUCUUCGGCAAUGGGGGGAACCCUGACCGAGCAACGCCGCGUGAGUGAAGAAGGUUUUCGGAUCGUAAAGCUCUGUUGUUAAGGAAGCGGUACUUAACCAGAAAGGGACGGCUAACUACGUGCCAGCAGCCGCGGUAAUAC
This 407-nucleotide ribosomal RNA is filed under the name uncultured bacterium. RNAcentral describes it as "partial 16S ribosomal RNA". It matches the Rfam family "Bacterial small subunit ribosomal RNA", at positions 28 to 526 of the family's 1533-position model. The record is from RNAcentral.